Long non-coding RNA from Oncorhynchus tshawytscha (Chinook salmon), 1112 nucleotides. RefSeq lists it as uncharacterized. The transcript has 2 exons. NCBI's taxonomy places the organism in Eukaryota, Metazoa, Chordata, Actinopteri, Salmoniformes, Salmonidae. The record is from RefSeq and is a predicted model, not a curated record.
ACGAAACAGGCCAACAGCAGUUGAUCAUAAAAAAUUAACUAGGUAAAGUCAAUUUAUAUAUGACGCCCUAGUUCGGCCAAACCCGGGCCCCACUAUAUGGAACUUUAAAUCACGGCCAGAUGUCAUACAGCCUGGAUUCGAACCAGGUACGAUAGUGACGCGGAGAUGCAGUACCUUAGACCGCUGCGCCACUCGGUAAACCAAUACAGUAAUUGACCAGCUAACUAAACAGUUUUUUUUUUCAAAACCUUUUACAAACAAGUUUCAAGUGCAACUAUAUUAUUAUCAACUGAUAGACCAUGGUAUGAUAGUCUCUGGCUGAAAUCAUUGCUCCUAUGAGCUAUUAUAGCUACUGCCUAGCCUACUGAAUACAAUAUUUGUGUAGUCUCGAUUCCAAAUUGAGCAGCAGCUGCUGAAAUAAAUGAAGUACAUUGGGGAAAAAAGCAAAAGAAAACUGCAAGACUGAAUUGGAGACAAAACAAGCAAUAAACUAAGAAGAUAGGCUUUGGAAAAAAUUUCUGCCAAUGGAUGGAUCUUCUUUUCUAAGGGUUGUUGAUGACAUCAAGGGGAAAAAGGCUGGUAAUCGCGGUGAGCUUUACACUGUCAUAAAUACUAUUAUAGUGCACUGUCUAUUAUCUACUGUCUAUAGAGCCACUGUAUGGUCCAUAAUCAAAAAAAUGAAGUAUGCAUUUCAGAUUCUAUUGACAACGCUGGAAAAUAACUACUCUACAUCUUCCUACACCAUAAAAGGAGGAUAAAGGCCAACUCAUUGUUUGUAGAAACUUUGACCCAGCCCAGCCAGCCCAUGUUAGACCAGACAGAGAAGUCACCUGUGUGGUCUGAUGACCUAUGUGACAGAACAAUACACCCUUUAUCUGCACUGUAUGCCUAAAGCUCUUACCUGACUUCAUCAUGUAGGCAUGUGUCUGAGUUGUUUUUCAUAUUCCAUUCUCAAGAGCACUCAGAAAAUCCUGUUAUGCAGUACCUGACUAAUGCAUCGGCUAUUUUCUUAUGGAUCAUAAUGUAUGCAUUACAAUUAAUAAUAUCUGUGUGUCUGCUGGACAUAUCUAGUUGUUUUUGACUUACCUUUCAAGAUAAACUUUUAGAAACUC